This 432-nucleotide ribosomal RNA is filed under the name uncultured bacterium. RNAcentral describes it as "partial 16S ribosomal RNA". It matches the Rfam family "Bacterial small subunit ribosomal RNA", at positions 29 to 506 of the family's 1533-position model. The record is from RNAcentral.
AACGAACGCUGGCGGCAUGCCUAACACAUGCAAGUCGAACGAGACCUUCGGGUCUAGUGGCGCACGGGUGCGUAACGCGUGGGAACCUUCCCUUAGGUUCGGAAUACCUCCCCGAAAGGGGUGCUAAUACCGGUUAAUUUCUUCGGACCAAAGAUUUAUCGCCUUUGGAUGGGCCCGCGUUGGAUUAGCUAGUUGGUAGGGUAAAAGCCUACCAAGGCGACGAUCCAUAGCUGGUCUGAGAGGAUGAUCAGCCACACUGGGACUGGGACACGGCCCAGACGCCGACGGGAGGCAGCAGGGGGGAAUAAGGGACAAUGGGCGAAAGCCUGAUCCAGCAAGGCCGCGUGAGUGAUGAAGGGGUUAGGGAUGUAAAGCGCUUUUACCCGGGAUGAUAAUGACAGAACCGGGAGAAUAAGCUCGGGCUAAUUCCGU